UACAGAGGGGGCAAGCGUUAUUCGGAAUUAUUGGGCGUAAAGGGCGCGUAGGCGGCCCGGCAAGUGGAAGGUGAAAUCCCUCGGCUUAACCGAGGAACUGCCCUCCAAACUGCUAGGCUUGAGACCGGGAGAGGUGAGUGGAAUUCCCAGUGUAGCGGUGAAAUGCGUAGAUAUUGGGAGGAACACCAGUGGCGAAGGCGGCUCACUGGACCGGUAUUGACACUGAGGCACGAAAGCGUGGGGAUCAAACAGG
This 253-nucleotide ribosomal RNA is filed under the name uncultured bacterium. RNAcentral's name for it is "partial 16S ribosomal RNA". It matches the Rfam family "Bacterial small subunit ribosomal RNA", at positions 524 to 776 of the family's 1533-position model. The record is from RNAcentral.